RNAcentral lists this unclassified non-coding RNA (269 nucleotides) under Cyphellophora suttonii. RNAcentral describes it as "partial internal transcribed spacer region". The stretch from base 1 to 46 matches the Rfam family "Eukaryotic small subunit ribosomal RNA", at positions 1786 to 1831 of the family's 1831-position model. The record is from RNAcentral. Lineage: Eukaryota; Fungi; Ascomycota; Eurotiomycetes; Chaetothyriales; Cyphellophoraceae.
AAGUCGUAACAAGGUUUCCGUAGGUGAACCUGCGGAAGGAUCAUUACCGAGUUAGGGUACUCUUCGUGCCCGACCUCCAACCCUUUGUCUACCUGACCAGAUGUUGCUUCGGCAGGCCCGCCGCCCCGCAAGGGGUAGCCGCUGGGGGCCCUUACCGGCUCCGGGUCCGCGCCUGUCGAUGGCCCUCUAUAAACUCUUGCUUAAACCGUGUCGUCUGAGUAAAACAAACAAAUAAAACAAAACUUUCAACAACGGAUCUCUUGGUUCUG